AGUGAACGCUGGCGGCAUGCCUAACACAUGCAAGUCGAACGGCAACACAGUAAGAUUUUGCUCUUACGGGUGGCGAGUGGCGGACGGGUGAGGCAUGCAUCGGCUUCUAAUUUUUCGUGGGGGAUAACGUAGGGACACUUACGAUACCACCUCAUAUGUUCUACGGGUGAAAUCAGUGGAUAUUUACACUUUUCCCGUUUGUAUUAGCCGAUGUCGGGUUAGCUAGUUGGCUGGGUAAAGGCCCACCAAGGCGACGCUCCGUAGCUGGUCCGAGAGGAUGAUCAGCCACACUGGAACUGAGACACGGUCCAGACUCCUACGGGAGGCAGCAGUGGGGAAUAUUGGGCAAAGGGCGAAAGCCUGAUCCAGCAAUACCGCGUGGGUGAAGAAGGCCUUCGGGUUGUAAAGCCCUUUUAUUGGGAAAGAAAAGCAGCAGGUUAAAACACCGCUGUUCUGACGGUACCCAAAGAAUAAGCAACGGCUAACUUCGUG
This 492-nucleotide ribosomal RNA is filed under the name uncultured bacterium. RNAcentral's name for it is "partial 16S ribosomal RNA". It matches the Rfam family "Bacterial small subunit ribosomal RNA", at positions 29 to 507 of the family's 1533-position model. The record is from RNAcentral.